CUGUUCGGUGAAGGGAGGGGGGGAAUAAAACCCAACAUGAAAAAGCUACUCAGGCUGUGAUUGCCCGUGAGUCAGACAUUUAUUGAUUCAUAGGAGUGCUGAAGCCAUCACGGACCACAAGAGUUCAUCACCUUUGAAAACAUAGACUCCUGUGGUUUGGUUUUUUUGUUUGUUUGUUUGUUUUUUUGUAUAGAGGAGUGUGCAGCCCAGCACUUAGAAAUGGGAAAGCUUUUUACAUUUCAGCACCGCAGGUGUAAUGUAGAACGCUUCCUUGCAUGAGGGGGUAAAAGAGGCUGUUGCUGCCUAAAGUGAGUCCUUCCUGGCAGUUUUCAAUAGGAAAAUCAGAUCAUGUAACAGGUGAAGGAAGAGCAAAGAUAACAUUUAUUGAUUUUUAUCCUUAAUUUGCUUUUGAUAUCAUUAAUUUUGGUCUAGAACUCUGUUCCUGAUUGGCUGCCACCUUUGCGUGUGUUUUGAGUACCCAAGGCUUACUAAUUUUUCAGUCAGGCUGUGGGGCUUUUGCGGCCAGAUCAGGCAAAUACUUUGCUGAUCUCAACUCACUAUUGGAUUUAAGUGUGCACAAAAUAUUUUCUGGGCUUAACUUUUUUUCUGACAGCUUUCAUGACAGAUAAAGUACCAUCAGAGCAGGGGGUUGUUUGAUAUUCCAUGGAUUUUUUUGGCAGCUGCCUUCCUUGUCUUUGCCCACAGGGCAAGUCCUUCAGUAUUAUUGAUCUCUUUCAAACAUGAGCUUUCUCUUUGGCUUUGGAGGUUUAUUGCCAUGGGCUCCUCUACAAGUUUUCUCCAAAAGCCUGGCUUUGAACUGGAUUUUGCUUUGAAUCAGACCUCAUCUAGCACUACACCUCAGACAGGGCUGUAAUUUUGCUGGCCAAAUUCCGUUAGACCUUUUCCAUUGGCACACCAGCACAGAAAGAUCACAGUCAGUUAGGCCUCCCACAGCAGAUAUGCGUAUAAUUUGUCUCUUGUUUUUGAGGCCAGUUUGCAGUCUGCAAGAAUGAGCAGUGUCACCACGCAGGGAGAGGAAGAUCCCUAAGGAAAGCAGCUGAGCGCCUGAUAGCCGUAGUGCACAGUGCAUGGUGGGGCAGAGCAGGUUGCUGGUUCUCUGCAUGACAAGUCAGUACAUGGAGGCUGCCUUUCACGUUUGUUUGGUUUGGUUUGGUUUGGUUUGGUUUGGUUGUUUUUUCCCUUCAGUGUGACAGAUAAAUGCCAGAGAGUUUACCAACAGAGGAAACAUAUUUCCAGCUGUGCUGCGUGAUGAGCCUUGCUGGAAACCAUUGCUGCAGAGCAAUGGUUUUCACAGCACUAGGUUCCUGUAACCAAAUGGCAAUGAUUUAAAAAAAACCUAACCUGAAUCAAUCAAGAAGACACAUGCAUGAAACAAUUCAUGGCAUAGACUUCUGGCUGGAUUAGGUUAUGAUUAAAAAGCAUUCACUGCAAUAAAGGCUGCAGGUUUGGACUUCAGCAAGCAGCUUGGGGGAGAGGCAGAGUCCUGUUUUGUGCACAGAGCAUAUUUGCUGUUCUUCCUCAAACUCUUCUCCAACAUUUAUUUUUUUUAGUGUCCUUGUACUCACAUAUUGUUACUUAGACUUGGUCUUCAGGGCAACUAUGUUUACGAAGAGUCAUCUGCAUUUACAGAAGAUAUGAAAAAGCUUGUAUCUCCCAGGCAUGCAUAUUUUUUUCAUUGAAAGCUAGACUAUCGCUAGGGCGGUUUGUUUCUACUUCUUUAUGGUUGGGGAAGAAAGUGGUGUGCUUGCACAUAUAAAUUUUUGUGACAGUUUUACAAGUCUGCAUUUACAACGAUAUCUAAGCAGUAAAUAAUCAUUCUCUUAACAGAAGAAACACAGUUGUUAUCCUAUAUUGUAGUGUGCUAAUGCUCAUUUGCUUCUGGAUAUUCAUUUUGCAUAAACUGGAGCCACAUCCUUUUUUUUUUUUUUUUUUUUUUUUUUUUUUUUUUUUUUUUUUUUCCCAUACACAAUCUUCAGUGUGAGAGGAAGCUCAGCCUCUGCAUGCUGAGCUGGUACACGUGUAAUCCCCGAGUGGCGCAGGGAGGACAGAGUAGUAGCUCUGAAUGAGCCUCCAAGCUUUCCUGCGGGAGGUAACCCUGCUUUCCCUACCCUGCCCCUGCUCCAUGCCCAGGCAAACGGGAAGAGCAAGUGCCUGCUCCUGUUCAGGCUUCUGUGGGGCUGGUGCUGCCUGGCCUCAGCAGCAGCUCAAUGGAAGGGGAAGUGCUCUUCUGUCUGCACGCUGGAGGGGAGAGACCUGGCAGCCUGGCUUUUUUGUUUUAUGGAGUACUGCCCAUGUCCUAGAAGAAAAUAACUUGUGAUCCCAGCAGGUCUCCUAUGGCUGCACAAAAAGUGAUACAUUUGGGAUAUGGAGUCUUGCUGAACUAUCUCCUUCCCAUCCCACGAUAGGCAGCAGGAAUUGAGAUGCUCCCCAGUAGGAAGGGCCAGAGGGGUGAGCAGGAGGCACAGCCAGCUCUGUGCCCAGAGUUUCCAAAUGCAGGGCACGAGGCAGAUUUGAACUGGAAGGAGGCAAGGCAAAAGACCAGUUGCUUCCCCAGGGGAGUUUUUGGGAUGGAUGGAUUGUUUGAGGAGGGUAGCCUUGGCGGACAGAAUCUGACUUGCCUUUACAAAUUUGAGGGGAAAGUAGUUAUCCUGAGAGGCAGCAAAAACAAAGAAAAAGACUAAGAAAACUAUGAAGGUGGCAGCUAGUGGACUGACAUACACAAGGAAAACAGGCCUCUGGGGACAGUGGGCAUCUGGGUAUGCUCUGGGACAGAAAACAGACAUAGCAGAGAACAAAGACCACACAGCAGCAAGAGAUUUACAGCCCAAACAAGGGAAGAGUGCAGAGAAGGAAGAGCGAGAGGAGAAAGCAAGGUGAUGGUGUGAGAAAGGUGUUAGGGGACCUCCUUGGACAGAGCAGCCUGUUGAGCAGGGCUGCAGGUAGAUGCCCCCUCAGAUUUUCAAAGGCAGCACUGUAGCCCCAUUGACUGAAGUCAUGCUAGUGAUCCAUCACUUGACAGUCAGUGGUGUUGGAUGACUAAAUGACUAUAAAAUUCAGUCUUUAGAAAUUGCUAAGAUAUGUGGGACCUUUUAUUUCUUAAUUUUACAUUAUCGUAAAUAUGUUUGAUUAAUUUAUAUCUUGAGAAACCUUUGGAAUAUCUAUGUGCUUCUGACAUUUAAAAAUUAUUUUUAGCUUUUUGUUCUCCUAAACGAUCCUGAGGCUCUGUUUGGACUUGAUAAGCAUAUCUGCAUGAUUUACGAUGGGAAGAAAGAUGAUUUCCCUCCUCAGUAGCUGUACAGAUGCAGGGGAAGAACAUAAAUGAGGAAUUAAUGUUAGGAAGGAAAUGAUAGCUCAUAUGUGGGGUUCAGAAGGAAAUGAUGAAGUGCUUGUGGUCCCUGUCUUUGGGUUAGCCUCAUUAAUUAUAGAAAUGUCACUAGAUCAGGCUUUAAUGCCAUGGUUGUGAAAGGGAAUGUCGCUAGUCUGAAGCAGUCAACAAACCCCAUCCUUUGAUUUGUGCUGCUUAAUAUUCAGUGGAGAUGAAAUGUGGGGAUGAGGGAGGAGUGCUGUUAAAAUAAAUUUUUACCAGUGUUAGAUUUAUUGUGUAUAAUUUUAAAGAUGACCUUUUAAACAAAGUCCAUGUUCAGUUUAAUUUGAAAGACCUGAAGAACUGGAAGAUUUGUGACUGUAUAACGAUAGACGCAAUAUGAGAUAAACAAGGGCACUAUACUAAAAUGGCCUCACUAAAUGAUACCUCAGACUAAAAAGAUCUUAAGAUAAGGUUUCUAGAUAGCAAAAGCAAUGUAAGGAAGUUAAGAGAGGAAGAGGUGUGCCUCCAUCAGCUGUUCAGGUCUGAGAGGUAAAGAAAAAUCAAAUGCUUACUACUUUCUCUGAUUCAGUGCUUGUAAUAAUACUGUUUUGUUUCAGCACAGCUGGCACUGAUGGCUUGAUUUCUCCUAAUGUUAGCCACUUCUCAAUUCUUUCUUUGAGAUGUACUACUUUUUAAGUUCAUGGUUUGGUUUUUUUGUGCCAGUUAAUAUCAUUAUCCCAUAGUUUCUGGGCUCAUCCAACAAAAAGUAAUAAGAAAAGUAACUUUGAUAAACAAUGGGCCAGAGAAUGCUUCCUCUAAAUCUUGCUCUGGUAAAUGGCAGCUGACCAUACAGGCCUCGUCCCCACCUUUGCAGUUGCCACCUGAAGAUUUUUGUGUAUGAUAAGAAAAAAAUUACUCAAUUCUUUGUAAUAACAUCACUACUAUGUCAGUAAAUGCUAAUUACAACCUCAGAUUAAAAAGAAAAAAAGCUAAAUUAAAAUUGAAAAUAUUCUUAACCUUAAGAUGAUUUUUUUUUCCCCCCUGAGGACAAAGUUUGAUUAAAAAUGAGGUGAUAGCUUUCUUUUUCUAGCAGAAGAGUAUUUUAUGUCAGCAGAAACAUUUUCAGGUGCUUUGUGUACAUUUAGACAUUAAAAAAUGGCUUUCAAAAAUAUGCAAUGGUUGCAUGUAUUAUACAUAAGACUCAAUCAUAUAGUGGAUACAGAAGUAGCAGCAAAAAGUGCAAGCAAAGCAUCUUUUUAGGUAUAUUGAACAUGGCCCCUGUCUGCUUCAAGCCAAGAUGACAGAGCAACCAAUUUGUUCAAUAACCAUGAGCAAGCAGUUCAUCGGUGCAUGGCUAUAGUGUCAAAACGUUAAUUAAAAGCCCCACUUCUAGUACAAGAUCUUGUUUUACUUUGUUUUGGCAAACCUGCACUUCCUUCAGUUUGUAAAGUGUACCGCAUGCCUCUUUUUGGUAUUUUAUAAGUACAAUAAACUAAAACUGUAUUUUC
Aquila chrysaetos chrysaetos is the source of this 4836-nucleotide long non-coding RNA. RefSeq lists it as uncharacterized. The record is from RefSeq and is a predicted model, not a curated record. The transcript is spliced from 2 exons. Lineage: Eukaryota; Metazoa; Chordata; Aves; Accipitriformes; Accipitridae.